CCUACGGGAGGCUGCAGUGGGGAAUAUUGCGCAAUGGGCGAAAGCCUGACGCAGCGACGCCGCGUGAGGGAUGACGGUCUUCGGAUCGUUAACCUCUGUCAGCAGGGAAGAACGGUCACUGUGCUAAUCAGCAGUGAAUUGACGGUACCUGCAAAGGAAGCACCGGCUAACUCCGUGCCAGCAGCCGCGGUAAUACGGAGGGGGCGAGCGUUAAUCGGAAUUACUGGGCGUAAAGCGCUCGUAGGCGGUAUGUCAAGUCAAGGGUGAAAUCCCCGGGCUCAACGUGGGAACUGCCUUUGAAACUGGCAAACUGGAGUGUGUGAGAGGAUAGUGGAAUUCGAGGUGUAGGAGUGAAAUCCGUAGAUAUCUGGAGGAACAUCAGUGGCGAAGGCGACUAUCUGGCACAUAACUGACGCUGAGGAGCGAAAGCGUGGGUAGCAAACAGGAUUAGAUACCCUUGUAGUC
RNAcentral lists this ribosomal RNA (465 nucleotides) under uncultured bacterium. Its description in RNAcentral is "partial 16S ribosomal RNA". It matches the Rfam family "Bacterial small subunit ribosomal RNA", at positions 338 to 795 of the family's 1533-position model. The record is from RNAcentral.